Molecule: long non-coding RNA, 4819 nt
Filed under: Sus scrofa (pig)
Lineage: Eukaryota; Metazoa; Chordata; Mammalia; Artiodactyla; Suidae
Description: lncRNA (ENSSSCG00035063940.1)
Source: RNAcentral
GGAACUAGAGAAUCUCAUACUGAGUGAAAUGAGCCAGAAAGACAAAGGCAAAUACCAUAUGAUAUCACUUAUAACUGGAAUCUAAUAUCCAGCACAAAUGAACAUCUCCUCAGAAAAGAAAAUCAUGGACUUUGAAAAGAAUAGCCCAAUUAAAAAAAAAAAAUGCUGAUCAGCCUGUUGCCUCGGGAAGAAAAGGAGAGGAAGUUAGUCAUUGGCAAUUUGUUAGUUUACUGCCAGAGAUGCUUUGUUUCUUCAUUCUCCUUAAAAUCUCCAGAGGUGUGCCAUGUGUCUCUCCUUCCUGACCACGCCCCCUUCACCAAAAUAUAUAGCUGGACUUGUGAUUUAUAAGCUGUGAUAAUUUCUAAGAUGAAAAUUUUUCCAACACUUUAGACUUAGCCACAGUUUUCAUUUUCUGUGCAUAGCCCUAGCAGGGGUAAAAGUAUCAGCAUAUACUGCUCUGCUUCUCCCCCAUUGCCCGUAUCUUCUUCACUGUCAGCAAAACUUGGAUGGUUGCCCAAAGAGUCUAGAUGUUACUUCUACCUUGUGUCUCAGAAGAAGCAUACCACUUGUUUUUGUUUCAACAUUAGUCAUUAGUGUAUCCUUUUAAAAACUUGUACUUAUUUUGAAAUUUAAAUUGAUGAGCAUUUUCGGUAUUAGUAAUAGACUAUAUAUAAUUUUACUUAUAAAUUAUAGUGUACACACAUGCUGAAUUUAAUAUAUCUGUCCAAUAACCUGGGACAAUAAUUUUGAUCUGCAUUUCCUUUAGAGAGAGUAGCCGUCCUCAAUUUUAAACCAAGGUGACAUCUAGUAUCUGACUCCUUUAUUGACAAUUUCAGAAGAGUGGCCCUAGAUUGAAUCAGCUUUAACCACUCUUUCCAUUUAAGACACAUUGAGUUAUAUUGACAAGCCAAGGUGGCAUGAACAGAUGUUGCCACUAACUGUGGCGUCUGAUAUUUAGAAAACACAAGACCUCUACCACUGAUCAACCAAUUCAACAUUACUAAUUAAUUUGAGAUGCUCUAGUGGAAAAAAACUAUUUUCAACCCCAAAGAGCAGUAUUUGACAUAAGAGCUAUCAUUCAAGUACACUAUUACCCAUCCCCUAAAAUUUGACUUUGUCAGUAGCUAAAAUUUGAAAAGGAGGUAGUCCAGAAUAAUAUUAGCAUGUAGUUAAUAGUUACCAAUUAGUUCCUGAGAAGACUUGCUUUCUGGGUUAUUAAGAUAGAGAGGAUCCUUUGGGGUUGAUGCUGGACAGAAAUUAAUUUUUAUUGACAUUUAUAUCCUACCUCUGAGCUUUCAGAAAAUAAAAAUGGAAUCAAAUCAGGUCAGGCAAGUACAAAUGAGAAGAUAUUGCUGAAAACUGCAUGAGCACCUAAGCACCUAAACCCAAAUUAAACACAAGCAACUCUGAAUUGCAACCCCACCUGUGAAUCAUGCUGGGGGAGAAAAUACAGAGGGUUUAUUUAGAAAGUCUUGGCAGUAGGAAAGUAAGGGGGAAAAAGCUUCAAAAUUGCUAAUUUAUUUUGCUUAGGGGCUCAUCAAGACUAGUAGACACAGGAAGGAUUUCAGACUAUCUCAUAAAGUGGCUUACACUCAUUUGCAGAGCUGGACGUAUUAGUCUAGAAUCAAAACGUUAUUGCUUUUAGUCUCUGAGCAUAACUGAGCACAGCAUGCUAUAGAAAGAUUUCAGGCCGCCAAAACUCCUUGGCUUCAGCAGAUUUUUUAGCUUUUGCAAAUGACAAAAACAUGCAGAGUAGAAGCCAUCCUUUCAAGCAAGUUCCUGUUAGCUGAUCACCUUAAAUUACAAUUUAGAAGUUUGUUGCUGAAAGAGUUUAUUUUCCUCCUGAUCCUUCCCGAAACCCUCCUUCAUUACUUUAAAGGGAUGUAUUUCUCUCCAAGUAUCAUAUUCACACCAGAGUUCUAGCACUAAAACAAGAGUCAUUUCCCUGGAGGGUUGGUCGCUUUUGCAAAAGAAAUUUUCAUUAAAACACUAGUGUCUGUGACUCUCAAAAGUGAAAUAAAAUAUAAAGCUUGCUAGGCAUAAAAAUACCUGUUCUCCAAAUUGCAGGACUUCAGCUCUACAAUUUUGCUGCUAAGGCUGUUGAACAUUUUAAGGAGUGCUUCUAAUCCCCUUUAUAGCUCUGUGCUGAAUGCAGAAACACUGUUCUCUGGUGAGAGAGUGAUCUUGGAAGUGUUAAAAAGUGUCAGUUGGCUUUUGUGAGGUGAUGGAGAACUUCGUGAAUUUUUAUUACGUGCCCUACCCCAAAAAUAUGUGUCUGACCAGCAUUCUUUGAGGGAUCAUCUGUGAUGCUAGUCCAGAUCCCCAUCCUCAGAGGUAAGCUGCUGGGGUCUACCUGAAUUAAAUUUCCUUGACUUUAACUAUCAAACAAAUAAUCCCUGACUAGCUUUAUAAUGGAAGUAAAUGUUCCACAUUUUCGGGGAAGUAUUUUAGCAUCCAUAGUCUUUGAAGCAAAAACCAGUUCUUAGCUUCCAUACUGCUCUAAGGUAAGCUGCUUUCUUAUAAACGGGGAAACUAUGGACAUUUGCUAACUUUGUGGGUUGUGAAUCGAGGAAGAAUAGAAUCCCUGAAAUAAUCAAUUUGUUCACUUUGGUCACCAUUAUAAAAAGAGUAUGAUUCUAGAAACAAAUGUGGGCUAUAUUAGUCCAGUAUAAUUAACAUUGCUGAUUCUAUUUGUGAAAGAAUGCCUGAAAGUCAAUAAAACAAAAAUUACAAUCAAAAGCCAUAGGUAUUUGGGGAUUAUCAUUUCUUUUGUUUAAGCUUAUUGAGAUUUCCAGCUGCUUCCUCAAGUCAAAAAUAAAAUAAAUAAAACCCCAAACCCAAUACCUUAUUUUCUCCAUACACAUCUGAAAUUAUCACAUUAUCCAUGCAUAUUUCCAAUCUUAAUCUGAUUUGGAAAAGCAAAUUUGUGUUUCAUUCUCUGAUAAAAUUCUGGGUCAUUUGGUCCCUGUCCUAGUUUGCCUGUCUGAAAGUAGUUUUCACAUUCCUCUGUUCCAGCUCUGAUCCCUGUUCAAAAUGCAGCUCCCUUUCCAGGUCAUGAGUUUCUCACUGUCUCUGCUUAUGGCAACUUGCAUGAAGCCUGAAUAUGCAACGUAGGAGUUUCUUUGAGAAACGAAAAGCGUAUGUAAAUAGGAACAUUUGGAUCAAAGAGGAGGAAUUGCCAAAUAAAAAUCCAUUUUACCUUUUAUUAUGAUGUUACAAAACCCGAAUUAAUACUCAAAACAGAAAUAAACUGCCUAGAGAGACAAGCUACUUCAAGAUGAAUUUAAAACACACAGGCCAUGUACUGCUAAAGCUUAGGAAACAUCACUUACUCAGAGCACAUUGUGUUUUGAGUACUAGUGGUCAUCGGCAGUAACAUUUAUUGAUAGAGCCAUCUAUUCAUCCCGCAGAUGUCUGAUAAGAACAGUUUUUCAUACUACAUUUAGUGCAUCCAAAAAUAAUGUGUUAUCUUAGAUCCAGAAAACAUUAAUGUUGUAUAUUUAGUGUAGUUAUUCACAUUAAGGGUUGAGCAGCUUUUACUCUAAACUUUACCUUCUGCAUUCUUUCUUCUAAUCUUUGGUGAUACCAUAAUUUUACAGUUGGACUUGUAGUCCAACAAAGAAGGGUAUGAGGUUAAGGGAAAUCGACAGUGGAAAUAAGCUCUACUGACACCUAUCACUGCUCAGUGUUAAAGCUAGUAAAUCAGAGAGAAGAUCACCAUCACUGAAUACUGUCUAAGCACCAAACAUUGUUAGUCUGGACUCUAACUCUCUUAGCAUCAUAAGCUAUAGAUGAGAACAGACAUUGCAUAUGGCUAGUUAGGAUCAAUUAAUUGGUAAUUUGAUCUUCAAGCAAGGAAUAAAACGAAAGAUUAUCAUUUGUAAUCAUGACAAAAUAUUUUCAGCUAGUGUUUCAUAAGAUAAUAAGUUUAUUUGAAAUACAGUCUUUAUAUUGCGACAUCUCAGUCUAUUAAAUUUAAAUGUUUGGAUGGCUUUAUUCUAGCCAUCUCACAAUUUACUAGGAUAAUAAAAGAAUUCAUUUUAACUAAUAACUGCUCACAGAAGGCUUGCUAUGUAAAAACUGAGUUUUAUUGAAUUUGAACCUGAUCUGGCAUUAACAUUCCUGUUUAAAAGAUAUAACAUUUAUUAUGCUGUGUUAUACUCAUAGUCUGCACAUUAGCCCUACCAUUUCCUCAAAGGAGCUUUGUAGAAGUACUGAAAAUGUUCACUUGGAUAAAAUAUGUUUAUUUCAUUAAUAGCUUUGUCACCAAAUUAAAAGUAUAUUUUAAAAUAUACACAAAUUAAGAAUGACUUGGCCAUUUUGCAAGGCGAUCUUUGGACUUCCAGAAGACUCAGAAUCAAUUAAAAGCUGGAUUAGAUUCAUCAUCUUUUCGGGACUCAUUACUUCUUGUCUUAUUAGAUGCUUAAAAAGACUUUUAAGAAAUUUAGUAAAAAUACUUUGAAAGAAUAUUAAUAGGAUUUAUUUUUAUAAGUCUAAAUGGGAUUAGGACAAUAUGUCUAAUGUAUCUGUAUAUUACAAUAUCUUGAGCAUGUCUAAUAAUAAUAGUUAGCACUUACCACUUCCUAUGGCAAGCAACUCAUGUGAUUUACAUACAUUAUCUCAUUUCAUCUUUAUUAUAUCACAUGAGGUAGGUACAAAUUGUUAUAAGUGAGAACAAUGAGAUGUAAAGUGAGACCCAUAUGAUGGCUUGCUCAGGAUAACAUAGCCAAGUCUUAGUGCUAAAGAUAACACAGUCUUUAUUUGGUACAACCAUACAUUAUGUAAAUAGUAACUGGUCUGUGGAAUUUUAAAUAACUUU